GAUGAACGCUGGCGGCGUGCCUAAUACAUGCAAGUCGAGCGAACAGACGAGGAGCUUGCUCCUCUGACGUUAGCGGCGGACGGGUGAGUAACACGUGGAUAACCUAUCUAUAAGACUGGGAUAACUUCGGGAAACCGGUGCUAAUACCGGAUAAUAUAUUGAACCGCAUGGUUCAAUAGUGAAAGACGGUUUUGCUGUCACUUAUAGAUGGAUCCGCGCCGCAUUAGCUAGUUGGUAAGGUAACGGCUUACCAAGGCAACGAUGCGUAGCCGACCUGAGAGGGUGAUCGGCCACACUGGAACUGAGACACGGUCCAGACUCCUACGGGAGGCAGCAGUAGGGAAUCUUCCGCAAUGGGCGAAAGCCUGACGGAGCAACGCCGCGUGAGUGAUGAAGGUCUUCGGAUCGUAAAACUCUGUUAUUAGGGAAGAACAAAUGUGUAAGUAACUAUGCACGUCUUGACGGUACCUAAUCAGAAAGCCACGGCUAACUACGUG
RNAcentral lists this ribosomal RNA (497 nucleotides) under uncultured bacterium. RNAcentral's name for it is "partial 16S ribosomal RNA". It matches the Rfam family "Bacterial small subunit ribosomal RNA", at positions 28 to 507 of the family's 1533-position model. The record is from RNAcentral.